UACGGAGGGUGCAAGCGUUGUUCGGAAUCAUUGGGCGUAAAGCGCGUGUAGGCGGCUUGGCAAGUCGGGUGUGAAAUCCCGGGGCUCAACCCCGGAACUGCUCUCGAAACUGCCUGGCUAGAGUCCCGGAGAGGAAGGCAGGAUUCCCGGUGUAGAGGUGAAAUUCGUAGAUAUCGGGAGGAACACCAGCGGCGAAGGCGGCUCUCUGGACGGUGACUGACGCUGAGACGCGAAAGCGUGGGGAGCAAACAGG
Molecule: unclassified non-coding RNA, 253 nt
Filed under: uncultured delta proteobacterium
Lineage: Bacteria; Deltaproteobacteria
Description: contains 16S-23S intergenic spacer region
Rfam family: Bacterial small subunit ribosomal RNA
Source: RNAcentral